GUCUGGCUGGCUUAGUUAGUAGAGCAUGUGACUGUCAAUCUCAGGGCUGUGAGUUCAAGCCCCAUGCUGGGCA
This 73-nucleotide transfer RNA is filed under the name Ailuropoda melanoleuca (giant panda). It matches the Rfam family "tRNA". From Rfam's summary of the family: Transfer RNA (tRNA) molecules are approximately 80 nucleotides in length. Their secondary structure includes four short double-helical elements and three loops (D, anti-codon, and T loops). Lineage: Eukaryota; Metazoa; Chordata; Mammalia; Carnivora; Ursidae. The record is from Rfam by way of RNAcentral.